Long non-coding RNA from Myzus persicae (green peach aphid), 474 nucleotides. RefSeq lists it as uncharacterized. The record is from RefSeq and is a predicted model, not a curated record. Lineage: Eukaryota; Metazoa; Arthropoda; Insecta; Hemiptera; Aphididae. The transcript is spliced from 2 exons.
UUUCAAAAACUGUUUUUGGGAAACAAAAUUGAUUUUAAUUCUGUUCAUUAUUCAAGCUUUAGUUGGCUAGAAAAUAGUAUUAAAUGUGAUGCUAUUUAUUGUUUUUGCUGUCGCAAUUUUAGCAUAGCAAGUGAUAAUCAUGAUUCUACGUUUACAAGUAUCGGAUUUAACAACUGGAUAAAAUUUUGUACAUUUUUGGUCGAAAAUCGGAGUAUUUUUACUACCCAAGAAGUUGAUAUCAAACUGAAAAAAACAUACAUCGUUAUAAAAAACAAUACAUUUAUCACUACACUCAGAAUCAAAAAAAAAAGAACAAAUAUAUUUGAUAAUUUUAUUUUGUGAAUAUAGAUAUUGGAAUACAAAUCGGUACAGUGUGUGUACUUUGUAAUAAUAAUACUAUUUUUGACUAAUGCACAUUUCGUUUAAUAUUCUCAGCCGCUGGACAUUUCUAUCCAUUUCCCAGAGACAGUCAUG